Molecule: long non-coding RNA, 489 nt
Organism: Suricata suricatta (meerkat)
Lineage: Eukaryota; Metazoa; Chordata; Mammalia; Carnivora; Herpestidae
Exons: 2
Source: RefSeq, a predicted model, not a curated record
UCCUGGCACUCACAACAUGGGGGCCUUUGUCGAUCACCCCCUUCGUCUGCCCUACGGCUUUCUGGUAAUUCCUGGUUGAGAAAUCUAAGUCUAAUGGAACACACAAUGAUUAUGAGUUAAUAUGUGACUUUUAAAGAGGGACUCGAGAUACAUGCAGAAGAGUAAUCCAUAUAAGAAAGCACCUAAUAUGAAAUAUGUCUUAUUUAAUACCUGAUUGCACACACUAUAUAGAGGCCCAGCUUAGAUGGAAGCUUCUACCUGCAAUAUCGCUUCUUGAAAUGAGACAUCAUCUUAUUUAUCUUGUCCUAAAUAAUCAUGACUUGAUUCCUUAUUGUAAGACAUGAAUGCAUUAUUCAAACACUUAUCUCCACGAGUCCAAAAAGUUUUCUGUGAUCCACUUCCAAAAGCAGACCAUGGUUUCCACAUAUUAAUACCUUGAGAGUUGGUUUAUUGGAAAAGACACCAAUAAAAGAUUGUAGUUGAACCUUA